Molecule: small RNA, 79 nt
Filed under: Glaesserella parasuis HPS10
Lineage: Bacteria; Pseudomonadati; Pseudomonadota; Gammaproteobacteria; Pasteurellales; Pasteurellaceae
Description: isrK
Source: RNAcentral
ACUUUCAACAGAAAGUCGGGAUUGGCGUCCUGAAUAACGUGAGCGGUGAAAAAUAAUAGUCGCUCAAAGCGGCUUUUUU